UCAAGCUAUGAAGAGUGCAUGGUGGAUGCCUAGGCGUUAAGAAGCGAUGAAGGUCGUGGUAGGCUGCGAUAUGCCUCGGGGAGCUGUCAAACAAGCUUUGAUCCGGGGAUCACCGAAUCGGGAAACCGGGCGUCACUGGGCAACCAGAUGGCGUCACCUGCGGCUGAAUGUAUAGGCCGUAUGGAGCAAACCCAGGGAACUGAAACAUCUCAGUACCUGGAGGAAAAGAAAUCAACCGAGACUCCGUCAGUAGCGGCGAGCGAAGGCGGAUCUAGCCCAAACCGUGGUGCUUGCACCGCGGGGUUGCGGGCCCUCGAGGAGUUACAAAGGCGUCGUUAGCGGAACGGUCUGGAAAGGCCGGACAUAGAGGGUGACAUCCCCGUACGCGAAAACGACAGCCCUCCGUUGAGAGGUGUCCCAGAGUAGCGCGAGGCUCGUGGAACCUUGCGUGAAGCCGGGGGGCCCACCCUCCAAGGCUAAGUAUUACUUAACGACCGAUAGUGAACUAGUAGGGCGACUGAAUGGUGAAAAGAACCGUUUCAAACGGAGUUAAAAGAACCUGAAACCAUGCACUUACAAAGCAGUGGUAGCACGAUACCGGGCAACCGGAACGUGUGGCCGCGUGCCUUUUGCAUAAUGAUCCGGCGAGUUAUGGUAUGUAGCCAGGUUAAUCCGUUCCGCGGAGGAGCCGAAGCGAAAGCGAGUCUGAAUAGGGCGACCAAGUUGCAUGCCAUAGACGCGAAACCAGGUGAUCUACUCAUGGCCAGGUUGAAGCUACCGUAAAAGGUGGCGGAGGACCGAACUCAUUAACGUUGAAAAGUUAUGGGAUGAGCUGUGAGGAGGAGUAAAAGUCUAAUCAAACCUGGAGAUAUCUCGUUCUCCCCGAAAUCGCUUUUGGGCUAGCCUCGAGAAACUACGUCAUGGGGGUAGAGCUACUGAAUGAGACGCGGGGGCCACCAGCCUACCGCCCUCAACCAAACUCCGAAUACCGUGACGACUAUCUCGGGAGUCAGUCUGUGGGGGAUAAGCUUCAUGGACAAAAGGGAAACAACCCGGACCGUCGGCUAAGGUCCCAAAAUCAUGCUAAGUGCGUAAGGAAGUCUUUUCUCUGAGACAGCGAGGAUGUUGGCUUAGAAGCAGCCACCAUUUAAAAAGUGCGUAAUAGCUUACUCAUCGAGAGAUUAGGCGCCGAUAAUGAACGGGACUAAGCAUGAUACCGAAGCCGCGGGUGCAACAUCGCUUCGGCGGUGUUGCGCGGUAGGGGAGCGUUGAUAGGCAGAUACAGGUCAUACCGUAAGGAGUGAUUGUGGGCCUAUCUAGUGAUUAUGCCGGAAUGAGUAACGAUAAUGGAGGUGAAAAUCCUCCACGCCGUAAACCUAAGGUUUCCUGGGGAAGGGAAAUCCGCCCAGGGUUAGGCGGGACCUAAGACGAGGCUGAAAGGCGUAGUCGAUGGACUGCAGGUUAAUAUUCCUGCCCUUCGUUGUGCGAUCAAUCCGUAAUGCGUGCUCUUUAAACGCAGCCCACCAUAAGACGUGAGGGUUGCCGAGAGGCCGAGGCCGAUUUGUUGCCGAAGUGCGAGGCGAGAGUACCAAGAAAAGUUGCGGUGGCAAACAGCGAAUCCGUACUAAAACUGACACAGGUAGGUGAGGCGAGUAGCCUCAGGCGCUCGAGAGAACCGUCCUUAAGGAACUAGGCAAUUUGACACCGUAACUUCGGGAAAAGGUGUCCCUACCCACUUCGGUGGGAGGGCUCAGAGAAUCGGCUCUGGCGACUGUUUAUCAAAAACACAGGUCUCUGCUAACACAUAAAGUGGACGUAUAGAGACUGACGCCUGCUCGGUGUGGGAAUGUUAAGGAAGUAGGUCAGGGGGCUUGCCCCUAAAGCUUGCAACCGAAGCACCCAUAAACGGCGGCCCUAACUAUGAGGGUCCUAAGGUAGCGAAAUUCCUUGUCGGGUAAGUUCCGACGCGCAUGAAUGGCGUAACGACUGGAGCACUGUCUCAAGGACGGACUCGGUGAAAUUGUAAUUGUGGUGAAGAUACCACAUACCCGCGGCAAGACGGAAAGACCCCAUGAACCUUUACUGUAGCCUGAUAUUGGUCACAGUCAUCACAUGCGUAGGAUAGGUGGGAGGCGAUGAUCCGGCUGUUCCGGCAGUCGGGGAGCCAACGUUGAAAUACCACCCUUGUGCUGUUUGUUCCCUAACUCCGACCCGUGAAUCCGGGCGGAGGACAGUGUUAGGUGGGCAGUUUGACUGGGGCGGUCUUCUCCCAAAAAGUAACGGAGAAGCGCAAAGGUCGGCUCAGCACGGUUGGCAAUCGUGCGACGAGUGCAAAGGCAUAAGCCGGCUUCACUGCGAGAUAUACACAUCAAGCAGAUACGAAAGUAGGCCUUAGUGAUCCGGUAGUCCCGUGUGGAAGGGCUAUCGCUCAACGGAUAAAAGGUACUCUGGGGAUAACAGGCUGAUGACUUCCGAGCGUUCAUAGCGGCGAAGUCGUUUGGCACCUCGAUGUCGGCCCAUCACAUCCUGGGGGUGAAGGCGCUCCCAAGGGUUCGGCUGUUCGCCGAUUAAAGUGGUACGCGAGCUGGGUUCAGACCGGCGCGAGCCAGGUCGGUCCCUAUCUGUCGUGGGUGUACGAAACUUGAGAGGAUGUCUCCUUAGUACGAGAGGAUUAGGAGGCACGUGCCGCUGGUGUACCGGCUGUCCCGCUCGGGGCACCGCCGGGUAGCUAUGCACGGAAAGGAUAACCGCUGAAUGCAUCUAAGCGGGAAGCCCCCCUCGAAACAAGGUUUCGAUGUCACUUCGGUGACUGUAGGCCCGUGAAAGACUAUCACGUCGAUAGGCGGGAGGUGUAAGCUCAGAGAUGAGUUUAGCUGACCCGUACUAAUGGCCGAACGCUUGACCAC
RNAcentral lists this ribosomal RNA (2906 nucleotides) under groundwater metagenome. RNAcentral's name for it is "bacterial LSU rRNA". It matches the Rfam family "Bacterial large subunit ribosomal RNA". The record is from RNAcentral.